Micropterus salmoides (largemouth bass) is the source of this 217-nucleotide long non-coding RNA. RefSeq lists it as uncharacterized. NCBI's taxonomy places the organism in Eukaryota, Metazoa, Chordata, Actinopteri, Centrarchiformes, Centrarchidae. The transcript is spliced from 2 exons. The record is from RefSeq and is a predicted model, not a curated record.
CAGAAGGAUGCAGCCUUACCCACACUAUAUAGUAUGAGGUGUUACUUUUUGUAUGCUCUUGUUUUUCAGAUGGAGGUUCUGACCCCUGCGCUGAGUUAGAGAUAAGGAGAACUCACUGAUGAUGAGACCCCCAGGCUUCCACAGAAGAACAAAGUCAAACAUGAGAGAGCAAGAGAGCAUGGAGUGAGGUAGAGAGAACUGCGAUGUAGAGUGCCUG